This 912-nucleotide ribosomal RNA is filed under the name Escherichia coli. RNAcentral describes it as "partial 23S ribosomal RNA". It matches the Rfam family "Bacterial large subunit ribosomal RNA", at positions 1 to 954 of the family's 2925-position model. Lineage: Bacteria; Pseudomonadati; Pseudomonadota; Gammaproteobacteria; Enterobacterales; Enterobacteriaceae. The record is from RNAcentral.
GGUUAAGCGACUAAGCGUACACGGUGGAUGCCCUGGCAGUCAGAGGCGAUGAAGGACGUGCUAAUCUGCGAUAAGCGUCGGUAAGGUGAUAUGAACCGUUAUAACCGGCGAUUUCCGAAUGGGGAAACCCAGUGUGAUUCGUCACACUAUCAUUAACUGAAUCCAUAGGUUAAUGAGGCGAACCGGGGGAACUGAAACAUCUAAGUACCCCGAGGAAAAGAAAUCAACCGAGAUUCCCCCAGUAGCGGCGAGCGAACGGGGAGGAGCCCAGAGCCUGAAUCAGUGUGUGUGUUAGUGGAAGCGUCUGGAAAGGCGCGCGAUACAGGGUGACAGCCCCGUACACAAAAAUGCACAUGCUGUGAGCUCGAUGAGUAGGGCGGGACACGUGGUAUCCUGUCUGAAUAUGGGGGGACCAUCCUCCAAGGCUAAAUACUCCUGACUGACCGAUAGUGAACCAGUACCGUGAGGGAAAGGCGAAAAGAACCCCGGCGAGGGGAGUGAAAAAGAACCUGAAACCGUGUACGUACAGGCAGUGGGAGCACGCUUAGGCGUGUGACUGCGUACCUUUUGUAUAAUGGGUCAGCGACUUAUAUUCUGUAGCAAGGUUAACCGAAUAGGGGAGCCGAAGGGAAACCGAGUCUUAACUGGGCGUUAAGUUGCAGGGUAUAGACCCGAAACCCGGUGAUCUAGCCAUGGGCAGGUUGAAGGUUGGGUAACACUAACUGGAGGACCGAACCGACUAAUGUUGAAAAAUUAGCGGAUGACUUGUGGCUGGGGGUGAAAGGCCAAUCAAACCGGGAGAUAGCUGGUUCUCCCCGAAAGCUAUUUAGGUAGCGCCUCGUGAAUUCAUCUCCGGGGGUAGAGCACUGUUUCGGCAAGGGGGUCAUCCCGACUUACCAACCCGAUGCAAAC